GCCCGGGUGGUGGAAUUGGCAGACACGGGGGGCUUAAACCCCCCUCUUCUUCGGGAGGUGCGGGUUCGAUCCCCGCCCCGGGCA
This 84-nucleotide transfer RNA is filed under the name Ilumatobacteraceae bacterium. RNAcentral's name for it is "tRNA-Leu". It matches the Rfam family "tRNA". From Rfam's summary of the family: Transfer RNA (tRNA) molecules are approximately 80 nucleotides in length. The record is from RNAcentral. Lineage: Bacteria; Bacillati; Actinomycetota; Acidimicrobiia; Acidimicrobiales; Ilumatobacteraceae. RNAcentral also lists the same sequence under 1 other name.